Molecule: non-coding RNA, 73 nt
Organism: Schistocerca americana (American grasshopper)
Lineage: Eukaryota; Metazoa; Arthropoda; Insecta; Orthoptera; Acrididae
Source: the annotation of a RefSeq genome assembly
UUCCGGAUGGCGCAGUCGUUAACGCACCUGCCUAUUAAGCAGGAGAUCCCGGGUUGGAAUCCCGGUCCGGUAU